UACAGGAGCGAAAUGGCGUAGCUUUCCUCCGACAGUGGAAAACGCGGCCAAGCCUGGGGGUGGGGGGCAAGCCUGGCCGUGCUGCCCCAUAGACAGACAUCGAGAGGAUGCACUACAUGUCCCUAUUAUCCCUUUGACAAACAAGUGAAGCACCAGCGGGAGCGGUUUGACGAACUCGUUUCAUUUCCUGCCUUUCUAAGAGAACGAUUUGGCAUACAUAAGACUUGAGCAUACCAAAAACCAUUAUCGGGUCCGCUAAACUGUUACCCAAUCUUCCCAGUCGGAGUAAUGAGGGCUGCUUCGGCGCUCAAGUCUGGACACGUCGCUGGCGCCCCUACCCCCCUCCUGUUCAUUCAUCCUCCGUUCUCAUGGGGGCGUCAACUGCAAAUCAUUUAUCUCAAAAGUCAAGUAAACAAGGCCUUCUUCCGUUUACAGUUUGUAUUUAUGAGAACAAUUUGGAUACUAAAAAUGUUUUUAUUCCACUACUUUCCUUUUAACUGUCAUUAACUGUUCAUUAGAUAACCGCAGUACUGGUACUCCCCAAAUAUUUAAUAUGUAUUGGCUCCACACCUUUGAAUAGUUUCAAGCCCAGAACCAGGGUUGCUAAUUUUAUUCUCAUAAUAGCUAACAUUUACAAGAAGAACAUUCCUACAUCUGUCAGUACAUAGACAACAACAAUCCACUAUAUGUGUAACUUUAUCUUGUGUAUUUGGUGACUUUUUUUACUCCCAAGCUGUUUCUAGAAAGAACAGACAAACUUCUACUCAGUACUCUACUACUUCAGCUAGGAAUUCAGUGCUCUUCCCCUUAUGGAUUGCUAGAGGAAUAGUCUUAACUUGGAUUUGAUGGAAAUUCUUGCUCUUUGUCCAGUUAACCUGUGUAAGUUAAAUGUGGCAUGUACAUUAUGGAAUUGUUGAAAUAAGGAAGAUUUAAGUCCCUUGUGUUAAAUUGUGGUCACCAGGUUUUCUUUUAGAUUUCCAAGACUCAAACUGAAUGCUUAUUAGAGUUAUUUUUAAAAUUUGUGCAUUGGCUAUGCUAACAUAACAUCUGCAAAUGUGAACCAUGUUGUUCAUAAUUUUGAGCUGUUGCUCCGAGAAAGGAUGUAAAGACCCAGGAACAGGCGGAGGGAAUUAUUUAUAUUAUGUGUACCUGUAUGGGUACAGUGGACACAGGAAUGUGUUUCUGGCACAGAAAAAUGGACAGACACAACUCAUCCCACUUAGCUUUAACCUCCUUAGCUAAGCAAUAUUAAACAAGCUGCUUUAUUCCUCUUUUUCCUGUCAAAAUAUAUUAGCUCUUGUUUUACUGAAGGUACUUUGUAUGGACAUGCUAGUGUUUUUGGUUGUGCUGUCUUGGAAGGACAAUGUUUUGAGAACUGCAUUUACAGGCAAAGUCAAUUGUGUGUUGACAGUAUAUUUAGCAUCUUUGUAAGAUUGAAGACUUCCUUAGGAGUGGUUGUAGGAAUCCGGUGAUUUCCCACUAUGUUGUGUACAUCUUACAACCAAGUAAUAACUUGCUCAACUUUAACAUUGUUUGACAGAAGCCCUAUGCUACAUAAUUUUUUAAUUAGAAAGCAGAUUAGAGCAAAAUUCAGACUAUUAUCAAGGUUAUGAUUCCCACUUGGGAGUUGGGAGGUUGGUACAUGGCUGACUAUCACCAUCUGAAAUACACUGAUGGAUAGUACCAAACAAUAAUAAAAUAAAUACAGCAAGUGAGUUGUGUACUCCUGUUUGAGACUGAGGACGUUGGAGCUCCUGGGUACAGUGCCCAGGAACAUGGGAUUUGUGCAAUAUGCGUGCCCUAUUCUGUCCUGUUUUGAGAUAAAUGUGUAUAUUGUACAAACAAGUGACGAGUUGUUUGUGAAGAAAAAAAACAACAAAAUCACCAAUGUCUUCCAUUAAAUGAUGUAUAGAUUCAUCCGCUUACUUUUACUGUAGCGGGAUUUGUUGUGCCAACGUUACAUGUGGCCAUGCAUGAGUGGACGUGAUGCUUGCCGAGUAAAGUAGUUGUAGUUGAAAUACAGUAUAUACGUUAUAAUUAAUGUUAGCAUAAAGAGUUAUGCAGAUAAAGGGUUAGGCUAGUUACCACCGUGCAUGUAGCACCCAUCCCUCUGCUAGUUUUGAGAGUAGGGAACUCGGGAUAGCGAUGGGUGAAUCCAAGACCUGAGAAGAGGGGUCUGGGUUUGUGGAAAGAAAAUUAAUGUUUUAUUUGUCAUCACACAACAGCUGUGUUCUUUCAUUAGCUAGUGUACAUCAUUUCCCCUAAAUCGAAAAGAACCUUCAUCUGGGCAAGGUAGUAGCCAUUAGUUUUACCUAUGUGAAAACAAUGCCAAAAUGCAUGAUAAUGAUGUGUUCUUUAAACAGCAUAAUACUGAUACUCUUUGUAAGUGUUGUACAAAAAUAUGAGAGGGUUUUGUGUUGAUCAGUGUCUCCCACCCUUAUGUGACCUAUUAAGAAAAAUGAUGCCAAACCUUUCUCUAACUGCUAUUUUCGAUGACAUGAAAGAGUCUGUAGAGGACAAACUGAGCAGUCUAAAUCCCGAAUCACUCCUUCAGUGAUUAUGCUAGAGAUGGUGCUUAAGAUGGAUAUAUCUGUGUCAGAUGCUGUAAAUUGUGGGUGUGUGUACUGAGUCAUAUUGUGAAAGUAGUAAGUAUGACAAAGUUGCAUUUUAAAUCUGGAUAACAGGAAGUGAAAUAUUCAAUGUAAAGUACUGUUGUCUUACACAUGGUUGCAGAUUCCUCUCAGCAUUAGAUGGAAAGUUACUUAGCUAGCUUCCAGGUAGCACAAAUACUAGAUUUAGUUAACAAGUAGAAGAGUCAAAUAGCAUAUAGCCUACAAUGAUCAAAAUAUUGUAAUGUAGAUAGAUACCUCAAUGACCGGAAUGCAAAAGUAUAUUUUUUAGGUUACACCUACAGAUAUGCAAGCCAUAAUAUGUAUUACAUUAGUUAUUUAGAAGCAAUAAUAUUAUGCAUGUAGUGCCAGAAUGCUGUAUUGUGGAAUGAAAAACUGUAGCAUAUGUGUAGGUGUGGUGAGUUUUAAGGUCUGUUACAUUCUGCAUAACAAUUCUUAAUGUUUAUUGAUAGGAGAUAUUGAAGCUUCCCAUGCUGGGAAGCCUAACAUCAGCUGUUGAUUAAACCAACUAUUUUCAUCAGUCAUUAAAACCAAAAACAUUUGUGAAUGUAGUACUGAAACCUAGUAUUUUUGACAUUAAGAACCUUUAUGGUGGAAAAGUAGUUGGGAAUGCUAAUGUAUAAUUAUGCACUUGCAUGUUUGUUGUUAAAACCAUACAGCAGCAUAAACUGAAUUCAGACGCACAGAAAUUGCAUAUGCAGUCAGUUGUAAUGGAAAGCAAUAGGAGCAGUGUAUUGGCUAGCUGUUGAUGACACUCAGAUUGUAUCUUCAUAAGUCAUAGAUGCCAAUGUUUGUUUCAGACACCACAGCAAGCUUAUCAGUGGCCAUCAUGUACAAUAGUUAAUUGUAAGCUUAGUAUUUUUUGGUGUUUCUAUAUGGGAAUGCAGGAAAAAAUAGCUGCUGCAUGGUAGAAGUGGGUAAGAAAUGUGUUGUGCUGCAUGCAUGCAAUAAUUGGGCUUUGCUUGGAAAAACAAUACAGAAAUGUGACAAAUUCAAGUAAUUUCUUUUUUCCUCAGAGGUGCAGGCCCAUCAGUUUUUAAAGAUUUUUGCUUUUUUGUUGAAUAAACCAUAUAGAUCCCACUGUGACCAGUAAGAUUUUGGAUGUCAUCAGUAAAUCUGAUACAAUUUUUCAUUUAAUGCUUUUCUAAACAUUUACUGUUGUUUUAAUGUUUACUUCUGAUUCAUCUGUAUUCUAGAGAGACAGAAAUGCAUUAACUGCAUGAUCUAUGAUGAGGUGAAAUUAGAAAUGCCAGACUAGUAAGCUGUAUUAAUACUAUGAGCAGAUGACAUUACAGUAGGCAAACCACAUUACACUGAAUGAGUAGAAUGCAUAGGAAUAUGGUAAGCAUACAACUUAAAUUUGAUGUAUAUAAAAGAUAAUGAAAUGUCAUUUCUGGGUCAAAUCAAAUCAGCUGUUACAAUUUGACCAUCACAUUGUGUAUAAAAUCAUUACUUAAUAUAUCUUAAGUUAAUGUUUCUUGAACCUGUUGUAAGUUGCAUUGCCACCUUUGGCACAGAGUGGGAAUACUGUAUGUUUGGUUAAAUCUAUGCACUACAAAUGCGCUGAGCAUGCUAAGAUGAACCUCUUUUUGAUUUUGUACAACAAAAAAAAAAAAAAUGUAUUGGAAAUUUAGCAAUAAAAACAGCAUGGUGCCAAUCCCACAUCAA
Long non-coding RNA from Electrophorus electricus (electric eel), 4298 nucleotides. RefSeq lists it as uncharacterized. The record is from RefSeq and is a predicted model, not a curated record. NCBI's taxonomy places the organism in Eukaryota, Metazoa, Chordata, Actinopteri, Gymnotiformes, Gymnotidae.